UUCGUUGGCUUUGGGAAGGCGCUUCCUCGUAUUAUUUAUAUUUCAGUUUAUUAUGCAAUAUAUUUCCAACUUAUACGACCACAUGAGGAUCAUGCGCAUGCGACAAGUUUGCUCCACAUUUUGACUCUGCGCCGCCGUGCUUCACCCUCGCCCCUCGCCUCGUCACUAAGGAGUCAUCGCCAUUAGCAUCAUCGGAAUGUCGUUGGAACCGUUGCAAGACGUUUGAACGGUCUCCGCGCUCGCUCGUCCAUUUGUGAACAAAGGAGGCCGUGAUUUUGCGUCGUAUGGGCGGCUGCAGUGUUGCGUCCCGUCAGGCCAUGAAAGAAGGAAGGAGGAUAUGAUUUUGCGUCGUAAUGGGUUUUUGUUGUUUGUUCGGAGCAGCGGCUGCAGUGUUGCGUCCCGUCAGGCUCUACUUUGUUGAACACUAAGCUGGGUGAACCAACUUUGUUGUUGCUAUGACCGUAUUACUCAGUUUUACUCACUUGUGUUUGAACGUUACUAAUUUGCGAUUGCACGCCCUAUUUCAGACACAUAUCUCUCCAGCGCUUCAGAGACGUCGCUGGCGCCGAAAUUCUAGCUGUUUCAGCGUGGGUCGCCAGAAGAACAGCAGAUCAUUGACUGUCAAUUGUGCGACGCGACACUAUGUGGCACGAAGGAUGUGUACGUGUGAAAUACGUAACUACUGUGUGCGCGGGAUGUUUUGUAUGAUUGUGUCGACACUGGAUACCACUUUCAAGGUAUGCAUUUUCGGAAUAAAGUAGAUACAUAUAUAAUUUUGCAGUACUUCAUUUCGUGUAUUUUAUGCGUGUUGCGAGUAAGUGAACAUAUGCACUCUUAAAAAUGAACUUCACCGCAUAGCAUGCUCCUAGCCGACCAUCAACUCGAAUGAUAUCGCUAUGUGACCUGAUUUGUUCAAAACGGUAGGCGCACGGCUUUUUUGUGAUACUUACGCUGUUCAUAAUUGUCACAAAAAUGGCGUACACCUCCCGUUUUCAGGCAGAUAACGAUAUUCGAGAUGAUGAUUGGCCAGGAGUGUGCUAUGCGGUGAAGUUCAUUUCUAAGAGAGUGGAGUCACAGGAAGUCUACAAAAAGUCUUCACAUCAUACGCGGGAUGGUGUUACCAGAAUUAUGUUGACAGUACACAGAAAGAGAACAAAAAAUUCCACACCUAUUCUGUAGCCAAAUGUCUACAGAAAGUUGAGGGCCAUAAGUCAACAAGAAGUAAACAUAUGAUGUAAACAUGAAAGCAACACAAACUCUGAAGAAUGUUUGUUUUCCAUGUUGACCUUGGUCUGUAGAAAGUAAACAGAAACUAAACACCCAU
Long non-coding RNA from Ornithodoros turicata, 1324 nucleotides. RefSeq lists it as uncharacterized. The record is from RefSeq and is a predicted model, not a curated record. The transcript has 5 exons. NCBI's taxonomy places the organism in Eukaryota, Metazoa, Arthropoda, Arachnida, Ixodida, Argasidae.